GUUUGAGGCCCCGGCGCUGGCCGAAGGCUUCUCUGAGAUCCUGAAGAUCCCAUUCCGCCUGCAGCUGGAGCCGCCGCUGGAGCGGCUGUACCGCCAGUUCUCCGAGGGCUGAGCCCCGCCGUCGUCCCCGCCCUUCCUUCCCCACACAAUAAACGCCGCGCUUCCCGCACGCUUGGCCAGCAUCUUGCUGGGAAGGGUGGGCCUCCCGGGGGUAACAGGCCGGGGCCAGGCGGGGCAGGGCCGGCUCUGUGGCUCUGCAGAUGGAGGCUCUGGGCGCACCUGACCCAAGGCGCCAGGCCCGCCCAAGCUGACCCUGCCCUGUCCCACCUGGGUCAGUCUGGACGCUUUAGCCCAGGCCCCGGGUCACAUCCGGGCCUGCUUGUAUCCUAACCACUCGGGCCCUGCAUUAGAGCCGCUGCCACCAGUGCCCCAUGAGGGCAAAUGCUCAGGACGCAGGUUCCCUGCCACUACCUGGGGCCCGGGAUGACGUGGGCCUCGACGUGCGUCCAGAGUGAGGCAAACGCAGUCCAGCGGAGGAGACCCGCCACCUGGGUUUACAGCUGCAGGGACUGCAGGGGACAGCACACAACCUCCGACAGACACAUGGCUUCUCCCCACCAUUCCCUGGUCCUCACAGCAGGGUACAACCCAACCAGGUGACCCGGAAGCCCACACUUUUCUUUCCAGCCUUGUUGAGUGGCGGACCGGACCACCCUCCAGGCCUGCUGUAAAUGCGAGUUCCCAGGCCUUUGGGGCUCCACCUCCUGGUACCACAGCUGGGGCAGCAGCUGCGCAGUGAGCAAAGGUUCCGCUGCAGGACCUGCUGCUGGUUAGCUAUGACGCGCCGGAUGCCGUUGAUGAAGCCGCUCUGGUCAUGGGGGAUGAGGCCAAUGAAGAUCUUCUUCUCGCAGGAGUAGAGGAGCAUGAGCACGCGCACCUCGCAGGGGGCCGUGUGCGGGAAGUGCAGGCAGCCAGCCUGGGGACACAGGAGCUGUCACCCGGGGCCCCCCUGCUGCCACAGCACCCGCCAGGCUAGAGGAUGUGGACGCAGGCUGAGAGUGGUGCUGGCUCACACCUGGCAGGGUCACCAGAGUGGCCCAGACAGCGGCAGCCACGAAGACAGAGGCCAGCUCACACCUGAUAGUGGACGCUGCCCAGAAGGGUGGGCGGAGGUCUAAGCCCUACCUUUCUGCCAGGGGCAAAGGCGUCAACACUGCAGGCAGCAAUGCUGCCAGGAACACAGGUCUCGUGGAGGCCCGGGACUUGGAACAGUGACAGUGACACUGCUAGCCAGGGGCUCCCGAUGAUGGGCCUCGUGGAUCCUGCAUAAGAACCACCUCCCACCUUACAAAGGAGAAACUGAGGCAAAGUGCAGGAGGGACUUGGGGGGGCUCCUCAGGGAGCUGCCUGGGAAAGUCACACCCUCAGACCCGCAACCUCACCGGCGCCACCUAGACCAACGGACACAGUGACCUCAGAGCAAGUGUCUCCCAGUGCACUGAGCAGCAGGACACAGGGCAGAUGCCAGCGGAAGGCUCUGCAGCACAGAAGGCCAACUGUCCCCGCAGAUGGGGUUGGAGGCCCACAGACCGGAGGGGCACCAGGUACUCGAGGCUGGGGGAGCCUUUGAGAGGGGUUGGGCUGGAGCCUGGGUGUCCCAGAGAGAACCCCGGGCAUUGGGGUUGGGACAGCCCGCACUCCCUCUCCGAGUCACCUGGACACGCGCACCCCUCCCGCAGGCUGCCCCUCCAGAUGGGCUGGUCCUGGACAAGUGGGCUCGCAGGUACAGGAGCCGCCUGCCCCAGGCAGGCACUCGGGCCUCCCCACUGCCGCAAGACUCACAAAGCCGUUGUCCAUGAUGCGGCACAGGCUCUUCAGUGUCUCCAGGUCCUUGGUGAAGUGGAACUGCACAAGGCGCGAGUUCCGGAAGAGCGGCACCAGCGUGGUCUGCGGGGAUGCCAGACGGCACCAUGGGCCCCUAGGUCUCCAUCCUGUUCCCGGACAGCAGCCAGCAGCCCACUGUCCUACGCUCUGAGAACCUGGGCACUUAGCCCGCCUGCCCUGCCUCACCUCACCCCGAGCCCCAGAGCUGGCCUACGGCCCUGCCAACCUUCCGCCUCCAGGCCACCCUGCCGGCCCUCGGCCACGCACCAGCAGCUGCUGCGGGAUGAGCUGCAUGUACAGCUUCCUUGGCCACUGCUCAGUCCUCCUGGGGGAUAGAGGGCGGUGUCAGCCAGAGCCCUGCUGAGGUGCGGCCUCCGGCCCCAGCCCAGCACUCACAGGAUCUCCCCUUGGUUCACAUAGACGUGUGAUGGCAGCCACCUCUUGGACCGACUGUUGGGCUCAGGCCUGGGCUUUGGGGUACAGGAGAGAGACCUCAGGGACUGGGGACACCAUGGGCCACACCCCACAGCCCAGGUGGUGACCUGCUCUGGUCCCCGUCCCCAGGCUGUCCAGGGCUCACCUCCUGCCACUCCAUGACUCCACUCCACGCCAGGAACUUGUUGUUGACGACCUGGACGGGGCCCGAGUGGACACCACCAGGUCCCACUGCCUGUGGGAGAGCAGCAGGUGGGCCAUGCACCUGCCCACACCCACUUGCUGCCCUGUCCCCAGACAAGUCCCACCCAGCACCCCACUGGCACAUCAAGCCCUCGGCCUGCUUCCAGUGAGUGGGCAGCCAUGUGCCUGGCACAGUCUGGGAUGCAGCACCCCGCCCUCCAGAAGGCAGAACUGUUGGGAGAGAGCUGGACACAGCUGCUCCCUCUUGGGCCAGGCCACACCCAGCCAGCACACCUGCUUGCGGGUGGUGAUGACCUGCCGGAUGGCGUUGACGAAGCCGCUCUGGUCAUAGGGGAUGAGGCCCAUGAAGAUCUUCUUCUUGGACGAGUAGAGGAGCAUGAGCACGCGCACCUCGCAGGGGGAGAUGUGGGGAAACAGCAUGCAGCCGGCCUGCAGGGGACCAGUGGUCAGCACUCCGGCGCUGCUCCCCGCUCACACUGACCCCUGUCCCGCCUGGCACUGAGGCCAAUGGACACGGCCCUCAGGGUCAAAACUAUGGUCCAGGGCCAGGUGUGGUGGCACACAGCACUCGGGAGCCUGAGACGGGAUCGCUGGGCUACAAGAUGAGACCCCGUCUCAAAAAAAA
This is a long non-coding RNA of Fukomys damarensis (Damara mole-rat), 3148 nucleotides long. RefSeq lists it as uncharacterized. Lineage: Eukaryota; Metazoa; Chordata; Mammalia; Rodentia; Bathyergidae. The transcript is spliced from 2 exons. The record is from RefSeq and is a predicted model, not a curated record.